RNAcentral lists this ribosomal RNA (267 nucleotides) under uncultured bacterium. RNAcentral describes it as "partial 16S ribosomal RNA". It matches the Rfam family "Bacterial small subunit ribosomal RNA", at positions 793 to 1055 of the family's 1533-position model. The record is from RNAcentral.
GUCCACGCCGUAAACGAUGAAUGCCAGCCGUUGGCGAGCUUGCUCGUCAGUGGCGCAGCUAACGCUUUAAGCAUUCCGCCUGGGGAGUACGGUCGCAAGAUUAAAACUCAAAGGAAUUGACGGGGGCCCCGCACAAGCGGUGGAGCAUGUGGUUUAAUUCGAAGCAACGCGCAGAACCUUACCAGCCUUUGACAUGUCCGGUUUGGAUCUUGGAGACAGGAUCCUUCAGUUCGGCUGGCCGGAACACAGGUGCUGCAUGGCUGUCGU